UGGGCGUAAAGGGCUCGCAGGCGGUUUCUUAAGUCUGAUGUGAAAGCCCCCGGCUCAACCGGGGAGGGUCAUUGGAAACUGGGAAACUUGAGUGCAGAAGAGGAGAGUGGAAUUCCACGUGUAGCGGUGAAAUGCGUAGAGAUGUGGAGGAACACCAGUGGCGAAGGCGACUCUCUGGUCUGUAACUGACGCUGAGGAGCGAAAGCGUGGGGAGCGAACAGGAUUAGAUACCCUGGUAGUCCACGCCGUAAACGAUGAGUGCUAAGUGUUAGGGGGUUUCCGCCCCUUAGUGCUGCAGCUAACGCAUUAAGCACUCCGCCUGGGGAGUACGGUCGCAAGACUGAAACUCAAAGGAAUUGACGGGGGCCCGCACAAGCGGUGGAGCAUGUGGUUUAAUUCGAAGCAACGCGAAGAACCUUACCAGGUCUUGACAUCCUCUGACAACCCUAGAGAUAGGGCUUUCCCUUCGGGGACAGAGUGACAGGUGGUGCAUGGUUGUCGUCAGCUCGUGUCGUGAGAUGUUGGGUUAAGUCCCGCAACGAGCGCAACCCUUGAUCUUAGUUGCCAGCAUUCAGUUGGGCACUCUAAGGUGACUGCCGGUGACAAACCGGAGGAAGGUGGGGAUGACGUCAAAUCAUCAUGCCCCUUAUGACCUGGGCUACACACGUGCUACAAUGGACAGAACAAAGGGCUGCGAGACCG
Molecule: ribosomal RNA, 702 nt
Filed under: Bacillus subtilis
Lineage: Bacteria; Bacillati; Bacillota; Bacilli; Caryophanales; Bacillaceae
Description: bacterial SSU rRNA
Rfam family: Bacterial small subunit ribosomal RNA
Source: RNAcentral